This 465-nucleotide ribosomal RNA is filed under the name uncultured bacterium. RNAcentral describes it as "partial 16S ribosomal RNA". It matches the Rfam family "Bacterial small subunit ribosomal RNA", at positions 28 to 507 of the family's 1533-position model. The record is from RNAcentral.
GACGAACGCUGGCGGCGUGCUUAACACAUGCAAGUCGAACGGAAAGGCCCUGCUUGCAGGGUACUCGAGUGGCGAACGGGUGAGUAACACGUGGGUGAUCUGCCCUGCACUUUGGGAUAAGCCUGGGCAACUGGGUCUAAUACCGGAUAGGAGCCAUUUUUAGUGGGAUGGUUGGAAAGUUUUUUCGGUGUAGGAUGAGCUCGCGGCCUAUCAGCUUGUUGGUGGGGUAAUGGCCUACCGAGGCGGCGACGGGUAGCCGGACUGAGGGGGUGGACGGCCACAUUGGGACUGAGAGGAGGCCCAGACGCCUACGGGAGGCAGCAGGGGGGAAGAUUGCACAAGGGGCGCAAGCCUGGUGCAGCGGCGCCGCGUGGGGGAUGACGGCCUUCUGGUUGUAAACUCCUUUCGCUAGGGACGAAGCUUUUUGUGACGGUACCUAGAGAAGAAGCACCGGCUAACUACGUG